CAUUACCGAAUCGUCGACACGAGUUGUUGCUGGUCCCCAAACGGGGGCACGUGCACGCUCUGUUUGUACAUCCAUUCACACCUGUGCACCCCAUGUAGUUCUGUGGUUUGGGGGACUCUGUCCUCUCGCCGUGGUUCUAUAUCUUUACACACGCUCUGUAAUAAAGUCUCAUGGAAUGUAUGCAGCGUUUAACGCAAUACAAUACAACUUUCAGCAACGGAUCUCUUGGCUCUCGCAUCGAUGAAGAACGCAGCGAAAUGCGAUAAGUAAUGUGAAUUGCAGAAUUCAGUGAAUCAUCGAAUCUUUGAACGCACCUUGCGCCCUUUGGCUAUUCCGAAGGGCAUGCCUGUUUGAGUAUCAUGAACACCUCAACUCUCAUGGUUCGCCGUGAUGAGCUUGGACUUUGGGGGUCUUGCUGGCCUGCGGUCGGCUCCCUUCAAAUGAAUCAGCUUUCCAGUGUUUGGUGGCAUCACGGGUGUGAUAAAUAUCUACGCUUGUGGUUUCCUGCCAGGAAACCUUCAUGGAUGAAGGUUCCCUGGGGCUCAUAAAGGUCCCUCCCAUUCAAACUUUGCACCCCGUUUAAUUNNUUGGUUUUGGGGAAUUUUUCCCCUCGCCGGGGUUUUAUAUUUUUUCCCCCGGUUNGUAAUAAAGUUUCCAGGAAAGUUAGCAGGGUUUAAAGCAAUUCCAUUCAAAUUUUAGCAAAGGAUUUUUUGGGUUUUGGCUUGGAGAAGAAAGCCAGGAAAUUGGAUAAGUAAAGUGAAAUGCAGAAAUCAAGGAAUUCUUGGAUUUUUGAACGCCCCCUGGGCCCUUUGGGUAUUUCGAAGGGCCAGCCUGUUUGAGUAUCCAGAACCCCUUAAAUUUCCAGGUUUGCCGGGGUGAGGUUGGACUUUGGGGGUUCUGGUGGCCUGCGGUUGGCUCCCUUCAAAAGAAUCAGCUUUCCCAGGUUUGGGGGCCUCCCGGGGGUGAUAAAAAUUUACGCUUGGGGGUUCCUGCCAGGUAACCUUCAGUGAUGGAGGUUCGCUGGGGCUCAUAAAUGUCUCUCCUCAGCGAAGACAGCAUUGUGAACGUUGAUCUCAAA
RNAcentral lists this unclassified non-coding RNA (1078 nucleotides) under uncultured Tomentella. Its description in RNAcentral is "sequence contains ITS1, 5.8S rRNA gene and ITS2". The stretch from base 206 to 360 matches the Rfam family "5.8S ribosomal RNA". The record is from RNAcentral. Lineage: Eukaryota; Fungi; Basidiomycota; Agaricomycetes; Thelephorales; Thelephoraceae.